AGUGGCUUUUGUGUAUGUACCAUUCCAAAUUUAUUCAUUAGUUUGAAUCUAUUCAGUGAUGAUUAUGUAUGAACUAAUUGUAGUUGGAUUAAAAUAGAUGUUUUAGCCAAAUUGUUCUUCCGUAGGGUUCAUGGUUUUUGUAGCAUGAUGUCUGAAUUAAUGGUGAAUGAUUAAACAACUCAUGGUUUUUGUUGUUGAUUCCAUUAAAGUGGUGCUUCUUUAGGGCUUUAUGUAGAAAGAAUGGAAGCUAACCUGAUUCUUCGAUGGUGUUUAUCCUGACAUCUUGUUUAUUUUCUUGGUUUCUUAAGAUCAUCUUUUCUGAACAUUGGGUGAGAAGCUAGAAGAGAAUGGUACUGCGAAUAUUCAGGACAAAAGAGAAUAUAUGAGAAGCUAGAAGAGAAUGUACAAAUGCUCUCGUCCAUGGCAGGAAUAUAUAUGGAGCUAGGCCAAUAUUCAGAUAUUGAUGUCCAGGUCCCUGAGUUGUUUAAUGUUGAUUUUGCUCAGGCACGAUCCAUCUUAGGGAUCAACGAGAGGUGGCUCAAGCGAUACGGGAUGGUGACGAGCAGCGGCGACCACAG
Molecule: non-coding RNA, 578 nt
Organism: Lolium perenne
Lineage: Eukaryota; Viridiplantae; Streptophyta; Magnoliopsida; Poales; Poaceae
Source: RefSeq, a predicted model, not a curated record